This 436-nucleotide ribosomal RNA is filed under the name uncultured bacterium. RNAcentral's name for it is "partial 16S ribosomal RNA". It matches the Rfam family "Bacterial small subunit ribosomal RNA", at positions 29 to 507 of the family's 1533-position model. The record is from RNAcentral.
AACGAACGCUGGCGGCAUGCCUAACACAUGCAAGUCGAACGAGAUCCUUCGGGGUCUAGUGGCGCACGGGUGCGUAACGCGUGGGAAUCUGCCCUUAGGUUCGGAAUAACAGUUAGAAAUGACUGCUAAUACCGGAUGAUGACGUUAAGUCCAAAGAUUUAUCGCCUGAGGAUGAGCCCGCGUAGGAUCAGCUAGUUGGUGUGGUAAAGGCGCACCAAGGCGACGAUCCUUAGCUGGUCUGAGAGGAUGAUCAGCCACACUGGGACUGAGACACGGCCCAGACUCCUACGGGAGGCAGCAGUGGGGAAUAUUGGACAAUGGGCGCAAGCCUGAUCCAGCAAUGCCGCGUGAGUGAUGAAGGCCUUAGGGUUGUAAAGCUCUUUUACCCGAGAUGAUAAUGACAGUAUCGGGAGAAUAAGCCCCGGCUAACUCCGUG